CUAAGUGCUCUCUGCAUGUCAUUGGCUCACACUGUUGGAACCUAGCCUCUAUCUGAGACUCUUGGGGGCAGAUUCUCUCUCAUCAUGGUUUCCAGGGUGCCAUCACCAGUGCAGAUCUUUCCUGUCAUUGUCAGACUCAUUUACCUCAUUGCACCCAACAGCUACCUGGACAUCCAGGAGGUACCUCAAACUCCCUAUCUAACACAGAACCCUUGGUCUCCAUUUAGGUCAGCUCUCUCUGACCUGAAUUCCUCAUCUCCGAAAAUGACACAUCUCUGUAUACAAUUUGUGCAGCCUAGAAUCCUAGAAUCACACACAUCACCUCUUUCCUAAUCCUCCACCUCAAGUCAAUUAACACCUUGUUUUUGAAUCUAACUUACCUCCAGCUCCCUCAAGUUGGUAUAGAAGCUUUCCCUCCCCCUCCCCCAGCUCACAUACUGCUUUUUUUUCCACAUACACACCAGAUUAAAUUCCCAAAAUGAAGGCUGUUAUCAGACAUCAGACUACCAACUGCCAUUUGCCUCUUCUUUAGCAGCUUCCCAUCCAGUCAGAGUAAAAAUUUUCAGUGUCCGUGGCUGGCCUCUGUGUGACUUGCACAUCAGGUGCCUUUGCUUAGGUCCUUCUCUUAAUAAGGGUACUCUGCAGGUUUGUGUAUUGAUUCCUGCUGUAACUUAGGUCACCUUUCUGAUGUCACUUCCUGAGAGUCUACCACUCCUAAAGUUUUCCCCUCCACUCAAAUUAUUCUGUUACUAUUUUCCUUACAGCCAUUAUCAGUAUCAAGAAAUAGAAUUGCCCAGGUGUUGUUAUGCACUGUCCUUCAUGAGAACUUCAGCUCCACAGGAGCAGGAUAGAGGUCAUAUCAUUCAGUGUCCUACUUCAGCACCCACUUAGCACACUAGGCACAUAGUUUGCUCCAAAUGUUUACUACAUGGAAGUGGGCAGGGGCCUGUCUGUGAGGGGGCUCACCCCUUAGUGCUGGGCAGCUCUAUAAAAGAACUACAUUCCAGGAACAGUUCAAGAGGCCCAAAAAUGAAUGAUGGGUGUCCUACCAAUGGCAAUUGCUCCACCAAGGCAACAAGACUGGGCUUUGUUGGUUCUGUGUAUGACCUGUUGGCUCCAGAACCCUGGCUAAAGCCCAAAGGACACUUAAGAACAGCCCGGAGAUUGCAAAGCCCAGGACAAGGAGUUGGGGUGCCUUGGCUCUUGCUGGCUUGAUCAUUGCUAGGCUACAUAAAUACUAUCCUCUGGAGACUCUCUUCCUCAGCUGUGAAGGACCAGGCUACCAGUCCCUAAGGCCAGGCUGUGACUGCCGGAACUACCCAGGCCUUACCCUCAAUUUUUUUCUCCUUUACAGUCAUAAAAUCCAAGUGACCCUCUUAUUGGGGGGGGGGUCACAGGAAUCCUUCUGCAGGAGACAAGGCAUGUCUUCAAGACCAUCACCAAAGAAGACAACCUGAAAGGGACCAGUCAAUUCCCAGUUAGCCACAGACCUUUUAUAUGUAGAAACAAAGAGGUAUUAUAUGGCCUUGAGAAAUUAUUAUUUCUAUAUAAAUCAUUCAGGAUUAUAAUCUGGUUGUAUGCAAAGAUUAGAACUACAAGGAACUAAGAAUGGUAAUAGAUGAAAAUGUCACUGCCCUAGAAAAAUCUGUUAGCUAAUAGUUCUUAGUUCCCAAUACACUUGAGCCCCAGGACAGAUAGGACUCAUGAUUGAGUCCUGUCAUUGGUACUUGUGAAGCGGGGGCUAUGGGACAGUUUCCAUGACAGGCUUAAUAAAAACCAGCUAAAAGUAGGCCUGAGUUUACUGGCAGGCAUCACCUGGAUCCAGGAAAAGCUAUAAGCUGACCCCACCCAGAGAGGGCUAGCAACUAAGGGGAAAUACCUCAAAACAACCUCAAUACUAUAAGAAGGGAGGCACGAUAAAAAGAAUGCCCAUGUGUCUGAGGCCAGCAUGAGAUACAUCGUGAGCUUCUGAAAAACGGGCUACACAGACUUGCCUAUCUCAGGAAAACAAAAGACAAGAAGGAGAGAAAACAUCCAGAGGUAGACAAGUCUGGGCAGCAAAUAGCAACAAGUUUGAAAGAGGUAACAUGUGCAGCAAGGCUCACCAUCAGCCCCUCAAGUGCUUGCUUCUACCAGCAGCAUCCAAUUACAAGCAUCUUCACGAUGAACAGAAGACCACUGCUUCUGCAAGUUCACCAUGAUACUGCCCACUACUUUAAGGAUACAGGGCCAUGCUGGCCCAAGAAUCAAACCCUACCAAAAAGGGAUGAAAAGCAGGGAAGUGAGAUAUGAGUCCUGCCUGGGGAAACACAGACUAAGGAAGGCCUCUAGGAGAAGACACCAAAAGAAAAGAUUCUUGGAGUUCAUCAUCCAAGGUGAACGCAUCACACUCAGCCCUGUCUUUCAACACAGUCACAAAGGAGCCCUUUGAUCUCUUCCUUGGGUCAUGGACAGAUGCUGACAGCUCAUAAAAAAGAUCAACUGAAAUGGUUUCUCAUCCAAGUUUCCUCCACCUAGGUGUUCCUCUCCUUCCUGUCCAAGGCUACUGACUCUAUAUACAGUGAAUGCUGAUAGGACACUUUCAGCUGGAAGAUGACACCUCAUAGGAUCACUAGAUACAGCUUAUUAUAAGUAGCAAUGCCAAUACCCUGGACAGACCUCAUGGGAAGGGGUACUUUCAUACCAGGAUUGCCUCCAUUCACUAGUCCACACCUCAGCUUCCAUGACUACUGUUGGUCUCCUGGCAUCCUCUCCGACCAAUUCCAACUUUUAGCUCAGAAUCCAACCUUCCCAUUGGCUGCUGCCCCAUUUAUGACAUCAUUUCCCCUCCAACCCCACCACCACCUGGUACUUCUUGGGAUUUCCAUGGUGAUGCCUGUAAACAAAUUUGGAUCAUCACAGGUCACCUGUGCCCAGUCACCAGUAAGUGCUGUCUGAUACCAGACACACUUGCCACUCAGGUCAGCUGAUCAGACAAGAACAACCAAUUCUCUUGCUCCAUUGUACUGUGGAUUGCUGAUACUCUCUCUCCAACCAUGGCAGAAAAUUUCCAAACUGCGCCUGCCUUUCUUUGGGACAGAAUGUGCUCUGCAGCCCCCUGUGCCUGUGCUGAGGAAUGCCACGCCCUUAGCAGGAAGUGUGUGCAACUUCUCCAGGGUCUCCACCCCAGCUGUGAGUUCAGCAUGGCUCCUGCCAUCAGACUCCAGCACUUGUUGCCAGCAGCUCAUGGACAGUGCCUACCCCUACCUACCAGCUGGCAUGACCAUGGUGACUGCAUUGACUGACCAGGGACAGAAGCCUACAUUGGCACUCUCCUAUCCAGGUGUUCUCCAGUGGGAUCCCAUGGGAAGCACUGACAGGAGGGGAGCUGUGUGGUGAUAUUGUAUUUGUGCUGAAAUGUGAUAUUUUAUUUGUAUGUUAAUAAAUGAAGUUUGCCUGGAGAUCAGAGGUCAUAGACAGCCAUAAACAGAAGUCAGGCAGUGGUGGCACAUGCCCUUAAUCUGAUCACAAGCAGACAGUCUCUAUGAGUUCAAGGACACAGCCAAGCAUGGUGGCACAUGCCUUUAAUCCCACUACCAACCAUAGAGACCUGGAGGUCUGUAUAUAGAGGCAGUGAUGAGGAAGUGAGGUGGCUGGGUUAAGAGCCAAUGAAAAGGCAAAACAGCAAGGCAAUAAAGGUAGAGGUUACACAGGAAAAGGAUCUCUUGGGAAGCUAUGGCAACGUGGUGAGCUAAGGUUAGUUGGUGGCUAUCACUCUGAUCUCUAUGGAUUUUACCCCUGUA
Molecule: long non-coding RNA, 3782 nt
Organism: Peromyscus eremicus (cactus mouse)
Lineage: Eukaryota; Metazoa; Chordata; Mammalia; Rodentia; Cricetidae
Exons: 2
Source: RefSeq, a predicted model, not a curated record